RNAcentral lists this ribosomal RNA (200 nucleotides) under uncultured bacterium. RNAcentral describes it as "partial 16S ribosomal RNA". It matches the Rfam family "Bacterial small subunit ribosomal RNA", at positions 1303 to 1500 of the family's 1533-position model. The record is from RNAcentral.
GGCUGAAAUUACGCCUUCCAUGAAGCCGGAAUUGCUAGUAAUGGCAGGUCAGCAUACUGCCGUGAAUACGUUCCCGGGCCUUGUACACACCGCCCGUCACACCAUGAGAGUUGGAAAUACCCGAAGCCUGUGAGCUAACCGUAAGGAGGCAGCAGUCGAAGGUAGAGUCAAUGAUUGGGGUGAAGUCGUAACAAGGUAAC